RNAcentral lists this transfer RNA (94 nucleotides) under compost metagenome. RNAcentral describes it as "tRNA-Cys". The record is from RNAcentral.
GCUCGGGCUUGGGCUAGGGGGGGGCGGCCUGCAGCGUCGCUGUGCUCAUCGUCAAGGCCAGCCUUGCAGGCGUUCUAUUCGCUGAUCCGAUCGC